GAUAAGUUAAUAGGCAUUUACAAAUGCUGUGUGCGGAGCCGGUAGUCGUACGCCGCUCAGGGGCGGACGGUCCGCCAUGAUUUCUCGUA
This 89-nucleotide small RNA is filed under the name Sinorhizobium meliloti 2011. RNAcentral's name for it is "putative ncRNA". The record is from RNAcentral. Lineage: Bacteria; Pseudomonadati; Pseudomonadota; Alphaproteobacteria; Hyphomicrobiales; Rhizobiaceae.